Molecule: unclassified non-coding RNA, 358 nt
Filed under: soil metagenome
Description: partial contains 5.8S ribosomal RNA, internal transcribed spacer 2, and large subunit ribosomal RNA
Rfam family: 5.8S ribosomal RNA (bases 1-120)
Source: RNAcentral
GAUGAAGAACGUAGCGAAAUGCGAUAAGUAAUGUGAAUUGUAGAAUUCAGCGAAUCAUCGAAUCUUUGAACGCACAUUGCGCCCGUCAGUAUUCUGGCGGGCAUGCCUGUUCGAGCGUCAUUACGCCCCUCAAGUCCCCUGUGGACUUGGUGUUGGGGAUCGGCGAGGCUGGUUUUCCAGCACAGCCGUCCCUUAAAUUAAUUGGCGGUCUCGCCGUGGCCCUCCUCUGCGCAGUAGUAAAACACUCGCAACAGGAGCCCGGCGCGGUCCACUGCCGUAAAACCCCCCAACUUUUUAUAGUUGACCUCGAAUCAGGUAGGACUACCCGCUGAACUUAAGCAUAUCAAUAAGCGGAGGA